CGGGACGGGUGAGUAACGCGUGGAUAACCUGCCUCACACUGGGGGAGUAACAUUAGAAAUGGCUGCUAAUACCGCAUAAGCGCACAGUACCGCAUGGUACGGUGUGAAAACCCAGGUGGUGUGAGAUGGAUCCGCGUCUGAUUAGCCAGUUGGCGGGGUAACGGCCCACCAAAGCGACGAUCAGUAGCCGACCUGAGAGGGUGACCGGCCACAUUGGGACUGAGACACGGCCCAA
This 235-nucleotide ribosomal RNA is filed under the name uncultured bacterium. RNAcentral describes it as "partial 16S ribosomal RNA". It matches the Rfam family "Bacterial small subunit ribosomal RNA", at positions 100 to 334 of the family's 1533-position model. The record is from RNAcentral.